AGAGUUUGAUCCUGGCUCAGAACGAACGCUGGCGGCGUGCCUAACACAUGCAAGUCGAACGUGAAAGUCCUUCGGGAUGAGUAAAGUGGCGCACGGGUGAGUAACACGUGGGUAAUCUUCCUCAGAGACUGGGAUAACCUUUCGAAAGAAGGGCUAAUACCAGAUAAGACCACAGAAAUUGAGAUUUCAGAGGUCAAAGGGUGCUUAUGGUAUCGCUUUGAGAUGAGCCUGCGUCGCAUUAGCUUGUUGGUAGGGUAACGGCCUACCAAGGCUACGAUGCGUAGCUGGUCUGAGAGGACGACCAGCCACACUGGAACUGAAACACGGUCCAGACUCCUACGGGAGGCAGCAGUGGGGAAUAUUGGACAAUGGGGGAAACCCUGAUCCAGCAACGCCGCGUGGGUGAUGAAGGCCUUCGGGUCGUAAAGCCCUGUUGAGGGGGAAGAAGGCAUGAAGUAACGUUUCAUGAUGACGUACCCCUGAG
RNAcentral lists this ribosomal RNA (484 nucleotides) under uncultured Geobacter sp. RNAcentral describes it as "bacterial SSU rRNA". It matches the Rfam family "Bacterial small subunit ribosomal RNA", at positions 8 to 485 of the family's 1533-position model. Lineage: Bacteria; Pseudomonadati; Thermodesulfobacteriota; Desulfuromonadia; Geobacterales; Geobacteraceae. The record is from RNAcentral.